UACGUAGGGGGCUAGCGUUGUCCGGAAUCAUUGGGCGUAAAGAGCGUGUAGGCGGUCCGGUAAGUCCGCUGUGAAAGUCGGGGGCUCAACCCUCGAAUGCCGGUGGAUACUGUCGGGCUAGAGUGCGGAAGAGGCGAGUGGAAUUCCCGGUGUAGCGGUGAAAUGCGUAGAUAUUGGGAAGAACACCGGUGGCGAAAGCGCCUUGCUGGGUCUGCACUGACACUGAGGGACGAAAGCUAGGGGAGCGAAAGGG
This 253-nucleotide ribosomal RNA is filed under the name uncultured bacterium. Its description in RNAcentral is "partial 16S ribosomal RNA". It matches the Rfam family "Bacterial small subunit ribosomal RNA", at positions 524 to 776 of the family's 1533-position model. The record is from RNAcentral.